Molecule: ribosomal RNA, 2992 nt
Filed under: Salmonella enterica subsp. enterica serovar Typhimurium
Lineage: Bacteria; Pseudomonadati; Pseudomonadota; Gammaproteobacteria; Enterobacterales; Enterobacteriaceae
Description: bacterial LSU rRNA
Rfam family: Bacterial large subunit ribosomal RNA
Source: RNAcentral
UUAAGCGACUAAGCGUACACGGUGGAUGCCCUGGCAGUCAGAGGCGAUGAAGGACGUGCUAAUCUGCGAUAAGCGCCGGUAAGGUGAUAUGAACCGUUAUAACCGGCGAUUUCCGAAUGGGGAAACCCAGUGUGAUUCGUCACACUAUCAUUAACUGAAUCCAUAGGUUAAUGAGGCGAACCGGGGGAACUGAAACAUCUAAGUACCCCGAGGAAAAGAAAUCAACCGAGAUUCCCCCAGUAGCGGCGAGCGAACGGGGAGGAGCCCAGAGCCUGAAUCAGCAUGUGUGUUAGUGGAAGCGUCUGGAAAGGCGCGCGAUACAGGGUGACAGCCCCGUACACAAAAGCGCAUGUGCUGUGAGCUCGAUGAGUAGGGCGGGACACGUGGUAUCCUGUCUGAAUAUGGGGGGACCAUCCUCCAAGGCUAAAUACUCCUGACUGACCGAUAGUGAACCAGUACCGUGAGGGAAAGGCGAAAAGAACCCCGGCGAGGGGAGUGAAAAAGAACCUGAAACCGUGUACGUACAAGCAGUGGGAGCACAGGUUUACCUGUGUGACUGCGUACCUUUUGUAUAAUGGGUCAGCGACUUAUAUUCUGUAGCAAGGUUAACCGUAUAGGGGAGCCGGAGGGAAACCGAGUCUUAAUUGGGCGUUAAGUUGCAGGGUAUAGACCCGAAACCCGGUGAUCUAGCCAUGGGCAGGUUGAAGGUUGGGUAACACUAACUGGAGGACCGAACCGACUAAUGUUGAAAAAUUAGCGGAUGACCUGUGGCUGGGGGUGAAAGGCCAAUCAAACCGGGAGAUAGCUGGUUCUCCCCGAAAGCUAUUUAGGUAGCGCCUCGUGAAUUCAUCUCCGGGGGUAGAGCACUGUUUCGGCUAGGGGGCCAUCCCGGCUUACCAACCCGAUGCAAACUGCGAAUACCGGAGAAUGUUAUCACGGGAGACACACGGCGGGUGCUAACGUCCGUCGUGAAGAGGGAAACAACCCAGACCGCCAGCUAAGGUCCCAAAGUCAUGGUUAAGUGGGAAACGAUGUGGGAAGGCCCAGACAGCCAGGAUGUUGGCUUAGAAGCAGCCAUCAUUUAAAGAAAGCGUAAUAGCUCACUGGUCGAGUCGGCCUGCGCGGAAGAUGUAACGGGGCUAAACCAUGCACCGAAGCUGCGGCAGCGAACGUAUCACCCAAGACAACUUUACGGAGUUGACGAUUGACGGAGCGAAGCGACGUCAAAGCGUUCAUUAAAGUCGAGUUGGCUUAGGGAUACGUUCGUUGGGUAGGGGAGCGUUCUGUAAGCCUGUGAAGGUGUGUCGUGAGGCAUGCUGGAGGUAUCAGAAGUGCGAAUGCUGACAUAAGUAACGAUAAAGCGGGUGAAAAGCCCGCUCGCCGGAAGACCAAGGGUUCCUGUCCAACGUUAAUCGGGGCAGGGUGAGUCGACCCCUAAGGCGAGGCCGAAAGGCGUAGUCGAUGGGAAACGGGUUAAUAUUCCCGUACUUGGUGUUACUGCGAAGGGGGGGACGGAGAAGGCUAUGUUGGCCGGGCGACGGUUGUCCCGGUUUAAGCGUGUAGGUGUGUGUUCCAGGUAAAUCCGGUUCACUUUAACACUGAGGCGUGACGACGAGGCACUACGGUGCUGAAGCAACAAAUGCCCUGCUUCCAGGAAAAGCCUCUAAGCAUCAGGUAACACGAAAUCGUACCCCAAACCGACACAGGUGGUCAGGUAGAGAAUACCAAGGCGCUUGAGAGAACUCGGGUGAAGGAACUAGGCAAAAUGGUGCCGUAACUUCGGGAGAAGGCACGCUGACACGUAGGUGAAGUGAUUUACUCAUGGAGCUGAAGUCAGUCGAAGAUACCAGCUGGCUGCAACUGUUUAUUAAAAACACAGCACUGUGCAAACACGAAAGUGGACGUAUACGGUGUGACGCCUGCCCGGUGCCGGAAGGUUAAUUGAUGGGGUCAGCGCAAGCGAAGCUCCUGAUCGAAGCCCCGGUAAACGGCGGCCGUAACUAUAACGGUCCUAAGGUAGCGAAAUUCCUUGUCGGGUAAGUUCCGACCUGCACGAAUGGCGUAAUGAUGGCCAGGCUGUCUCCACCCGAGACUCAGUGAAAUUGAACUCGCUGUGAAGAUGCAGUGUACCCGCGGCAAGACGGAAAGACCCCGUGAACCUUUACUAUAGCUUGACACUGAACAUUGAGCCUUGAUGUGUAGGAUAGGUGGGAGGCUUUGAAGUGUGGACGCCAGUCUGCAUGGAGCCGACCUUGAAAUACCACCCUUUAAUGUUUGAUGUUCUAACGUGGACCCGUAAUCCGGGUUGCGGACAGUGUCUGGUGGGUAGUUUGACUGGGGCGGUCUCCUCCUAAAGAGUAACGGAGGAGCACGAAGGUUGGCUAAUCCUGGUCGGACAUCAGGAGGUUAGUGCAAUGGCAUAAGCCAGCUUGACUGCGAGCGUGACGGCGCGAGCAGGUGCGAAAGCAGGUCAUAGUGAUCCGGUGGUUCUGAAUGGAAGGGCCAUCGCUCAACGGAUAAAAGGUACUCCGGGGAUAACAGGCUGAUACCGCCCAAGAGUUCAUAUCGACGGCGGUGUUUGGCACCUCGAUGUCGGCUCAUCACAUCCUGGGGCUGAAGUAGGUCCCAAGGGUAUGGCUGUUCGCCAUUUAAAGUGGUACGCGAGCUGGGUUUAGAACGUCGUGAGACAGUUCGGUCCCUAUCUGCCGUGGGCGCUGGAGAACUGAGGGGGGGCUGCUCCUAGUACGAGAGGACCGGAGUGGACGCAUCACUGGUGUUCGGGUUGUCAUGCCAAUGGCACUGCCCGGUAGCUAAAUGCGGAAGAGAUAAGUGCUGAAAGCAUCUAAGCACGAAACUUGCCCCGAGAUGAGUUCUCCCUGAGACUUAGAGUCUCCUGAAGGAACGUUGAAGACGACGACGUUGAUAGGCCGGGUGUGUAAGCGCAGCGAUGCGUUGAGCUAACCGGUACUAAUGAACCGUGAGGCUUAACCUU